RNAcentral lists this ribosomal RNA (511 nucleotides) under uncultured Formosa sp. RNAcentral's name for it is "bacterial SSU rRNA". It matches the Rfam family "Bacterial small subunit ribosomal RNA", at positions 540 to 1050 of the family's 1533-position model. Lineage: Bacteria; Pseudomonadati; Bacteroidota; Flavobacteriia; Flavobacteriales; Flavobacteriaceae. The record is from RNAcentral.
GUUAUCCGGAAUCAUUGGGUUUAAAGGGUCCGUAGGUGGAUAAUUAAGUCAGAGGUGAAAUCUUGCAGCUCAACUGUAAAAUUGCCUUUGAUACUGGUUAUCUUGAGUUAUUAUGAAGUAGUUAGAAUAUGUAGUGUAGCGGUGAAAUGCAUAGAUAUUACAUAGAAUACCAAUUGCGAAGGCAGAUUACUAAUAAUCAACUGACACUGAUGGACGAAAGCGUGGGUAGCGAACAGGAUUAGAUACCCUGGUAGUCCACGCCGUAAACGGUGGGCGCUAGGUGUGGGGAACAUUCCACGUUCUCCGUGCCGCAGCUAACGCAUUAAGCGCCCCGCCUGGGGAGUACGGCCGCAAGGCUAAAACUCAAAGGAAUUGACGGGGGCCCGCACAAGCGGCGGAGCAUGCGGCUUAAUUCGAUGCAACGCGAAGAACCUUACCUAGGCUUGACAGUUGGGGAAAUCUGGCAGAGAUGCCAGGUCCGUAAGGGCCCCAAAACAGGUGGUGCAUGGCU